CCUACGGGCGGCAGCAGUGGGGGAUAUUGCACAAUGGGGGAAACCCUGAUGCAGCGACGCCGCGUGAGUGAAGAAGUAUUUCGGUAUGUAAAGCUCUAUCAGCAGGGAAGAAAAUGACAGUACCUGACUAAGAAGCCCCGGCUAACUACGUGCCAGCAGCCGCGGUAAUACGUAGGGGGCAAGCGUUAUCCGGAUUUACUGGGUGUAAAGGGAGCGUAGACGGUUUGGUAAGUCUGGAGUGAAAGCCCGGGGCUCAACCCCGGGACUGCUUUGGAAACUGUGUAACUAGAGUGCAGGAGGGGCAGGCGGAAUGCCUGGUGUAGCGGUGAAAUGCGUAGAUAUCAGGAGGAACACCGGCGGCGAAGGCGGCCUACUGGACUGAAACUGACGUUGAGGCUCGAAAGCGUGGGGAGCAAACAGGAUUAGAUACCCGGGUAGUC
Molecule: ribosomal RNA, 440 nt
Filed under: uncultured bacterium
Lineage: Bacteria
Description: partial 16S ribosomal RNA
Rfam family: Bacterial small subunit ribosomal RNA
Source: RNAcentral